Molecule: RNA transcript, 2963 nt
Organism: Vitis riparia (riverbank grape)
Lineage: Eukaryota; Viridiplantae; Streptophyta; Magnoliopsida; Vitales; Vitaceae
Gene name: internal alternative NAD(P)H-ubiquinone oxidoreductase A1, mitochondrial-like
Exons: 10
Source: RefSeq, a predicted model, not a curated record
CUUACAUUAUUCUAGGUUAAAACUGGCCAUAUAUAUGGGCUUUGUUGUGUUAUGUGGUUACGAAGAAGAGUCCGUAACUCUUUUCUACAACUCCUGAGAUUUUGGACGUGCCCAACCUUUGAGCUUGAGCCAGAAAGCUGAAUUCUUCAAAAUUGAAAACAAAUUUGAAUAGGUCCAUUUGUGGGAUUGGGUUCUGAAUAAGAACUUUCUAAGCAUAUAGACUGGUCUUGCAUUAAGAAGCAGUCUACAAUGGCACUGGCAAGGGCUGCAAGGAGUGGCUUCUUUAGGUCAAGAGGCGCCAUUCCCAGUUACAGUUGUGGGAAAGAUGUGUUCUUUGAUGCGGGACACACGCAGAAGUUUUUAAUUUCCUUUGAAAAUAUUACAUCAGGAGGCAAUUUGUCGCAACUUUCCAGCGUUAGGAAGGUUGAUAUCACAAGUUUCGGGAGCCGGGGAAUAAGGGCAACCCCCCAAUAUCAAUCUCCUUAUGCAGAGAGGGUCACAGAGGAAUCUGAUUUAGAGAAUGAUAGCCCAAGUUAUCCAGGACUGGAGGCAACUAAGCCAGGGGAGAAGCCAAGGGUUGUUGUCCUUGGUACUGGGUGGGCUGCUUGUCGAUUCCUCAAAGGACUUGACACCAAAAUUUAUGAUGUUGUUUGCAUAGCACCAAGGAACCACAUGGUUUUCACUCCCUUGCUUGCUUCCACUUGUGUCGGAACCCUGGAAUUUCGCUCUGUGACUGAACCUGUUGGUAGAAUACAGUCUGCAUUGGCAACGGAGCCCAAUUCCUACUUCUAUCUGGCCUCAUGCACAAGCAUCGACACAAACAAACACGAAGUAUACUGUGAGACGGUUGGCAAUGUUGGACUACCCCAUGAGCCUUACCGGUUUAGAGUUGCAUAUGACAAGCUUGUUAUUGCUUCUGGCGCAGAGCCAUUGACCUUUGGCAUCAAGGGAGUGAACGAACAUGCAUUUUUCCUUCGCGAAGUAAACCAUGCUCAAGAAAUAAGGAAGAAGCUUCUCUUGAACCUCAUGCUCUCUGAAAGUCCAGGUAUAUCAGAAGAAGAAAAGAAGCGCCUAUUACACUGUGUUGUUAUUGGAGGAGGCCCUACUGGGGUGGAGUUUAGUGGCGAACUGAGUGAUUUUAUCAUGAGAGAUGUCCGUGAGAGGUACAGUACUCAUGUUAAGGAUUACAUCCAAGUCACCCUAAUAGAGGCAAAUGAGAUUUUGUCAUCAUUCGAAGUUGGGCUGAGGCAAUAUGCAACAAACCACCUAACUAAGUCUGGUGUUCACUUUAAGCGAGGUGUUGUGAAAGAGGUGCAUGAAAAAAAGAUAGUCCUCAGCGACGGAACUGAUGUUCCAUAUGGCCUCUUGGUAUGGUCUACAGGCGUGGGUCCUUCAGAGUUUGUGAAAUCACUGAACGUUUCCAAGUCCCCUGGUGGAAGGAUUGGUGUGGAUGAAUGGUUCAGGAUUCCUUCAGUGGAAGAUGUGUUUGCACUGGGAGAUUGUGCAGGUUUUCUUGAGCAGACAGGAAAGCAAGUGCUUCCAGCCCUGGCUCAGGUUGCAGAAAGGCAAGGAAAGUUUCUGGUAGAGUUGUUUAAUAGGAUAGGUAAGGAAAAUGGAGGCAAGGCCUUGAGUGGGAAAGACAUCACAAUGGGAGAGCCUUUCGUGUACAAGCACCUUGGCAGCAUGGCAUCGGUGGGGCGUUACAAGGCGCUGGUUGAUCUCCGACAGUCCAAGGAUGCCAGGGGCAUUUCACAUGCAGGGUUCAUCAGCUGGCUCGUCUGGCGCUCAGCCUACUUGACUCGUGUCGUGAGUUGGAGGAACCGCUUUUACGUGGCUGUCAACUGGGCUACCACGCUGGUCUUUGGUAGAGACAACUCGCGCAUCGGUUGAACUGUCAUGAACCCUAUGGCCCAAGCCUAAUGUGUUACACGCCUCUCGCAUCACCCAUUUUCUAGAUUCAGUGAAGGCAUUCCAAUUCAACCUUGACUUUGCCUUCUUUUUCCUACAAAUAAGGGUGGUCGGUACACAUUAAUUAUUAUUGGCCUGCAAGUCAGCGUAAAAGCACCGCAACCGAGCAAUUACCCACGUGUUUAUUUAUGGUGUGCGGCCGCCGAGUAAAGUUAGGUUCCGUCAUAGUGACAUCAUCGUCCCUACCGCGUGCGGGUUUGUCUGUCAAACGCGUGGAAUGCAUUUUCCUCUCGCAUGUAUCACCGGACAUUCAUAAGACACGUGUGGAAUGCACUGUUUUGGGAUGAAUCAUGGCCGUUCAUUCUAAUGAUUUGCCACAGCGAGAUAAGGCAAAAUUGAAAUAUGAAACGACGUCGUUUCCAUGAUUGAAAACAUUUGCAACAGCAAAAACAAAAUCAAUUCAUUCAAAAUUCCUGAAACGUUACAAACACAAAGGGGGGUCUAUUCUCUUUACAAUCUGGUGGUCACUAGAAACUUGAAAGAUGAAGCGGCUGCGAUCAUUCCAAGCGCUGCAAAACCUCUCAAUCUCUUAAGGAAAAAAGAAAGUCUCACAAUUGAGUUCUCCGAUUGGGAUGUGACCGCCGGCCACUGGGUGUGAAGAUGGACGCCACAGAUUGGGCGAACCCCACCACGAUCCCCAUCUUCACCUGACCUCUCUUGGGGAUCGGACGGCCAGAGAGCCUCUGUGAGAAGCUUCCACGGUUGAUCAUGGAUCCUCCUGCACCAUCCAUAGUUUCACAGAAGAUUGGAAGGUUGUCGAUGCGGAAGCUUUGUAAGUGUAAAGGUAAAAGCUUUGCGAGUGUUAAUUGAAGUGGGCUUGGUGGAGAGGUGAGGUGGGAGGCAUCUGGGUUAUAUAGAGGAUUCGGUUCUAAAAUGCCCUUAGUUUUCCGUCAAAUUACAAUAAUACUUUCUAAUCUUAGUGCCUUUUAAUGAGGGCGUUGUUGUCAUUUGGGAAAAAGCUAUGAUAUGAGCAAAAUAAAAGGUGCCGUCUUAAA